RNAcentral lists this ribosomal RNA (545 nucleotides) under uncultured bacterium. Its description in RNAcentral is "bacterial SSU rRNA". It matches the Rfam family "Bacterial small subunit ribosomal RNA", at positions 355 to 895 of the family's 1533-position model. The record is from RNAcentral.
UGGGGAAUAUUGCGCAAUGGGGGGAACCCUGACGCAGCCAUGCGCGUGAAUGAAGAAGGCCUUAGGGUUGUAAAGUUCUUUCGGUAUUGAGGAAGGUUGAUGUGUUAAUAGCACAUCAAAUUGACGUUAAAUACAGAAGAAGCACCGGCUAACUCCGUGCCAGCAGCCGCGGUAAUACGGAGGGUGCGAGCGUUAAUCGGAAUAACUGGGCGUAAAGGGCACGCAGGCGGUUAUUUAAGUGAGGUGUGAAAGCCCCGGGCUUAACCUGGGAAUUGCAUUUCAGACUGGGUAACUAGAGUACUUUAGGGAGGGGUAGAAUUCCACGUGUAGCGGUGAAAUGCGUAGAGAUGUGGAGGAAUACCGAAGGCGAAGCNNGCCCCUUGGGAAUGUACUGACGCUCAUGUGCGAAAGCGUGGGGAGCAAACAGGAUUAGAUACCCUGGUAGUCCACGCUGUAAACGCUGUCGAUUUGGGGGUUGGGGUUUAACUCUGGCGCCCGUAGCUAACGUGAUAAAUCGACCGCCUGGGGAGUACGGCCGCAAGNUA